This 433-nucleotide ribosomal RNA is filed under the name uncultured bacterium. RNAcentral's name for it is "bacterial SSU rRNA". It matches the Rfam family "Bacterial small subunit ribosomal RNA", at positions 32 to 508 of the family's 1533-position model. The record is from RNAcentral.
AACGCUAGCGGUCUGCUUAACACAUGCAAGUCGAACGGGUGUAGAAAUACAUUAGUGCGUACGGGUGAGUAACGCGUGAGAAUCUGGCUUUAGGUUCGGGACAACCACUGGAAACGGUGGCUAAUACCGCAUGUGCCCUUGGGUAAAAGGUUUACCGCCUAAAGAUGAGCUCGCGUCUGAUUAGCUAGUAGGUGUGGUAAAAGCGCACCUAGGCGACGAUCAGUAGCUGGUCUGAGAGGAUGAUCAGCCACACUGGGACUGAGACACGGCCCAGACUCCUACGGGAGGCAGCAGUGGGGAAUUUUCCGCAAUGGGCGAAAGCCUGACGGAGCAAGACCGCGUGAGGGAGGAAGGCUCUUGGGUCGUAAACCUCUUUACUCUGGGAAUAAGAAAGUGACGGUACCUGAGGAAUAAGCAUCGGCUAACUCCGUGC